Non-coding RNA from Triticum aestivum (bread wheat), 132 nucleotides. The record is from Rfam. NCBI's taxonomy places the organism in Eukaryota, Viridiplantae, Streptophyta, Magnoliopsida, Poales, Poaceae.
AUCAUAAUCCCUCCGUCCCAAAAUUCUUGUCUUAGAUUCUAGAUACGGAUGUAUCUAACACUAAAACGUAACUAGAUACAUCCGUAUUUAGAGAAAUUUAAGACAACAAUUUUGGGACGGAGAGAGUAUUUC